Molecule: long non-coding RNA, 8550 nt
Organism: Humulus lupulus (European hop)
Lineage: Eukaryota; Viridiplantae; Streptophyta; Magnoliopsida; Rosales; Cannabaceae
Exons: 4
Source: RefSeq, a predicted model, not a curated record
UGUAAAUCUUGUGGUAUCCACCCCAUUUCAAGACUUGAAGAGGUCUCAGAUAGAAGCAAAGUUGCACACAGAUUUCAUGGCGGCCAAGACACUCAAGCAAUACCAGCAGCGCCUUCACGAGGAGCACGCGAAGAGUGUUCUUGCCAUCAGAGUCAUCGAGGAGGCGAAAGAAGAUGAGCAACUUGAGGCGGAGCUAGAAGUGGGAAUCGAGUCAUCCUCUGCACACCAAGGUAAAUCUUCGAUCAUUUUCCACUAUGCUAGGCACAUAAGGGAGGGAACUAGUCCCGACCAUAUCUUAGUCUCUCCCUCCCUUCUCGAGUGUGGCCAAGUUUCGGAGUGUUGCUGGUCUGCGGAAGAGUAUGAAGAUUACCAGCUUCACAACCCGAAGAGAAAAAGGCACCUUCCCAGCUUCAUACCCCUUGACGAAUCGACGGCCAUGUAUGCAUCUUGGUUUUGUCAGUACGAGACCAAUUUGACAUAAGAGAUGUGUCGUCUCAAAUAUGACAUUGCUAGAACCCUCCUCCAUCCUGAGAAGCCUGAUCGUGGGGGCGAGGGGUCGCGAGGAGUUUUACCUUUCUUUUUAUGCAUGUAUUACCCUAUUAUGGUUUUCUUUUCAUUUUUCAUGACUAACCAGGGUGUUUCCUUUACACAGAUAGCAUGGGCCUUUCAGAUUUGGUGCACUCGAAGCGUCAAAGGGUGUCAAGCCCUUCCGAGAUCGACCUCCCGAUGGCUCCGACACCCGUGCCACCGCCCCCUCUGUCUGUUCCGACAUCAUCAUCCGCUACUCCAAUGGCCCCUACCUCGAGCACAGCAGACACCGGCAAGGUCAUAGACCUUGAGGUCUCCUCGAGAUGUGGGGUUCUCCGGGAAAGGCAAGGAAAUUCCUCUCAAUCCUCCUCAAGCCAAGGAUCCCCAUAUGGUUAUCUGUCCGGAGUAUUACGAUGACAACAGAUCGGGUCUACACAGGGAGGUCAUUGAGUACUACAAUGCUUGCAUCGGCGAAGGUAACGAGAGUGUCUGACUAUUGACCGAGUUUCUGUGCGAGGACUGGUCGAAAGAACUUGUCUCUGCACCUCGCCGCGUAGAACUUGAACCUUUCUUCGUGGGGAGAAUAGGAGAGAGGGCCAUACCUCUCGACACAUAACUCUUGCAACAACUAACGGCAUCCUUGUGCGAGAUGACCGCAGGCAGCUUCGCACGUUGCGGUGGUGAAAACGAGGUGGCAUUGAUCGCAACUAGCCGUCACACUGCCUCUAGGGGGGUAAGUCUUGGAUUUUGUUUAAGCUUGAUGAAUGUCUUGUCUUUUCGGCUGAUUCAUCGUUCUGAAUUUACAGGUUGCUGGUUUAAACCAACGACUUGGGGAACUGGUGCUGACGCAGACUCUUGAGUUGAAGAAGACUCGGGAGGAGUUGGCUCGCGUCUAGGUGGAGCUUGCUCAAACCAAAGAGACUACAGUUCCUCUGGAGGAACAUUCACGACUUUAGAAAGAGGUGGAGGACACCAGGGGCCGCGUUCGAGAGGUGGAGGAUCAACUGGUCAUGGAGAGGUCAAAGCUGUUCGCCUUGGAGGAGACAUCCGCCAAGUUAUUGGAAGAUGCCGCGAUCCGGACAUGGAUCGUGGAAGAGGAACUGGCCCGGGUCCGUGAGGAGUUUUGAAUAAGCCAGAUGGAACUUUAAACCCAUGUUGGUGAGCUAGAAAAGACAAAUGGGGACUUGACCUCGACGUGAUGGCUGAGGACAUGCUCUUUAUCGCGUGGCAGAGCAACAAGGACAUGGACCUCUCCUUCACAGAGGAUCAUGAUAUGAGGACCAAACUUGAAGCACGUCUCGAGGUGGACAUUGCUUGCGAGACUCAAGAGAGAGAGGCCUCGGCAGUGGGCCCGACUCCCAAAGACAACCCAGUGGUCGAGCUAGUGACAGAGGUGCCAUCAAGCGAAGGCCCCCAAUUGACUGCCUUCUCAAGAGACUCCUCGGGGCAGAAUCUAGGUAUCCGCUGAUGGAGAAGUUAACCUUUUGUUUGAUGGUUGCCUCUCGGAAGCUAAGACCCUACUUCCAGACGCAUCCAAUUAAGGUUCUCACAAACCACCCACUCAGACAAGUCCUUCAGAAGCCUGAGUCGUUGGGAAGGCUCUUGAAGUGGUCGAUGGAGUUAAGUCAGUUUGACAUCACCUACCACCCAAGGACUACCAUAAAAGGUCAAGGACUCACCGAUUUCAUCACCGAGUGCACUGGGAGUCAGGAGAGAAUCGAGUGCACCCCAGUGGUCAGACAACAUGGAAGUUAUUUGUGGAUGGGUCUUCGAACGAGAAUGGCGACAGGGCGGGAUUUAUUUUGGUUUUCCCCAAGGGGCAUAAGGUGCAUAGUGUUCUCUGCUUCGGGUUUAGCGCCUCUAAAGACAAAGCGGAGUACGAAACCUUAAUCAUUGGGCUUCGCGUGGCACUAGAGCUCAAGGCCAAAGGACUCAAGAUCUUCAACGACUCCCAACUAGUGGUGAACCACGUUCUCGGAGAAUACCAGGCACGGGGAACAAAGAUGGCAACAUAUUUGGCAAAGGCUCAAGAAAUUCUACACAACUUCUGAAGUUUCACUAUUUGGCAAGUGUCGCAGGAGCGAAAUUCUAAUGCGGAUGCCCUAGCAAAGUUGGCCACGACGAAAGACGCAAAAUCAAUCAAUGUGGUCCCCAAUGACUACUUGGAGUCUCCGAGUAUCUCGGCUCCUGACAAGGUGGAAUCAGUACAAUCCCCAAAUGGGUGGAUGGAGCCAAUAGUUAAAUACCUCGUCUCCGGGGAGUUGCCCCAAGACAAAAAGGUAGCUCGGAAGUUGCUGUACCAAGUACGGAGGUACAUAAUUAUGGAUAACAGGCUUUAUAUACGAGGCUAUUCUUUGCCCUUGGUUCGGUGUGUGUCCAAUCAAGAAGCCAGUUUAAUAUUGCAAGAGGUACAUGAAGGUUUCUGCGAAGAUCAUGCCGGGGGGCAGAGCCUUUCCAAGAAGAUCUUAAGACAAGGGUAUUUCUGGCCCACCAUGAAUGGAGACGCGAUGGAUUACAUCAAGAAAUGCGACAAAUGCCAACGCUUCACCAACAUCCCCCGAGCGCCUCCAAAUGAGCUUACUCAAAUGACCAGCCUAUGGCCUUUUGCUGUUUGGGACAUCGACCUUAUCGGGUCCUUGCCUACAGGGAAAGGAGGGGUGAAAUACGCCAUAGUGGCCGUUGAAUACUUCACAAAGUGGGUUGAGGCCGAGUCUCUCGCCACAAUUACCUCCGAAAAGGCUUUGGACUUUAUCUUAAAAAAUAUCAUUUGCCGUUAUGGGCUUCCGAGGAAGAUAGUCUUCGACAACGGAUUGCAGUUCGACAGUGAAGUGUUCACAGACUUCUGUCAAUGACAUGGUGUCAUCAAGAGCUUCUCUUUCAUAGCCCAUUCGCAGGCCAAUGGUCAAGUGGAAGCAGUGAACAAGACAAUCAAGUCUACUCUGAAGAAAAGGCUGGAGCAGGCAAAAAGAGCUUGGCUCGAGGAGCUGCCUAGGGAUUUGUGGAGCUACCACACCACUACUCGAACCUCCACCGGCCAUUCUACCUUCUCGAUGACCUACGGGUACGAGGCUAUGCUCUUGGUUGAAGCAUCAAUCUCCACGCACCAAUGGGAUACAUAUAAUCCGACCACGAACCAUGCCUUACUUCGAGAGUCCCUGUACCUCGUGGAGGAGCUACGCGAAGCUUCUCAGCUAUGAGUAGUAUCCUACCAGCAAAAGGUGGCCAGAUAUUUCAACUCCAAUGUGAAAGAUAGAAAAUUCGGUGUUGGAGACCUGGUGUUGCGAAUAAUCUUCUUAGCCACCCGAGAUCCAGGUGCAGGAGUGCUGGGGCCCAACUGGGAGGGCCCAUACCAAGUCGAGAGCAUUAUAUGUCCGGGAACAUAUAAAUUAGCUCGACUUAAUGGGGAGCUGAUUCCUCAUGCUUGGAAUGCCGAGCAUCUUCGUUGGUAUUACCUGUAGCUUCCUCAACAAAGAGUUUAUUUAUGUAAUACCCCCGUAGCCUUCGGGCACAUAUAAUGGAAACCGUGUAUAUAAAACAAGAUAAGAAAUUUGUUUGCUUUGCUUAUGUUCUUUACUUUCCGUUAUAAUCUAUUAAUGUUGUGUAAAGAGCACCUGCUCGCCUGGACAAGUGAUCAGAGAAGUCUCUGAUCACUUGGGGAGCAUGGAGUUAGGGCAGCACCGUGUCUCGCAAGGAACGACCUAGGAAACUAAACUUGUAAAUAGCCAAGAGGAGUAAGCCUAGCAUCGCCAUCUCAAGAAUAUAAAGUCUUAGGAAGCUAAUAAAGUUUAGCCUAGAAGGUAGCUUGUUCGAGGCAGAACUAAGCUUAGUACCUAAGAGUUAGAUAACCCAAGUAGCGCGAGAUUAGACUAUUGUCAUUAGUAAGAGACUCCUCAGGGAAUAAUCUAGGUAUCUGCUGAUGGAGAAGUUAACUUUUUGCUUGAUUGUUGCCUCUCGGAAGCUAAGACCCUACUUCCAAGCGCAUCCAAUUAAGUUCCUCAUGAACCACCACUUAGACAAGUCCUUUAGAAGCCUGAGUCAUCGGGAAGACUCUUGAAGUGGUCGGUGAGUUAAGUUAGUUCGACAUCACCUACCACCCGAGGACUGCCAUAAAAGGUCAAGUACUCGCCGAUUUCAUCACCGAGUGCACCGGGAGUAAGGAGAGUGCUUGACCUUUUAUGACAUUCCUCGGGUGGUAGGUGAUGUCGAAUUGACUUAACUCCACUGACCACUUCAAGAGCCUUCUCGAUGACUCAGGCUUCUGAAGGACUUGUCUCAGUGGGUAGUUCGUGAGGACCUUAAUUGGAUGCGCCUGGAAGUAGGGUCUUAGCUUCCGAGAGGCAACCGUCAAGCCAAAGGUUAACUUCUUCAUCAGCAGAUACCUAGAUUCUGCCCCGAGGACUCGAGAUUGACCUCGCUUGCUGAUGUGACCCCUUCUCAAGCAAAAUGUUGACUGCCUUUCAACCUUAAUAAGAGAGAUUAAAGAAAUGAACUAUAAGGAUGCAAGGAUUUUUACUUGCUUUAGGUUAUAAAAGAACCCUAGUCCACAAGUCUUUGGUAUUAAGAUGGUUGAGCUUGUGGUUGCAAGCUUCAGUAGUGUAUUCUCAUGUAGCGUUUAGAUUGCUCUAAGUACAAAUAGUUUUUCCUCUAAAAAAUUGAACCCUUUACAAUGAGACUUCAAACCCUAUUUAUAGAGGCUGGGGUCACUAAUAUUAAUCAUAAGUAAUUAAUACACAUUCUUCCCAUAAUUGGGGGAUUGAUACACUUCAAUGCACUGGGCUGCAUUGAAUAGAGACCACGAACCAAACGAGAUUUGCAGGACCCACUGCAGAAGGGUAACCACUUUACGAGGAACAUGCCCCCGGGACUGUCAGGGCAUGCUGUACGUACUUCUAUGUAGUGGGAGUGCGAAUUGUCGAGUCAUACCAUCGAUAACAUUUUAGGCAGAUCGCCCAAAAAAGGUUGUCAAGUCUUCCUCUGAGGCAGCUAAUCUGCAUUGGCUGACACCUGGCCUAUCCCUAAGAUUCCGAGGACUAAGUCCUCGUCCUGGAAUAUAGCUGAGGGCAAGGAAAGACGUGGACUACCAAGCAUCCCCAGGAGGUAACCUUAUGAAGGCAUCCACAGCUCUCGGGACAUGGCUUAGGAGAGAUGUCGACACCUUCUCAUUAUCUAAGUAGGAUGACCUCCAACUGUGGGACUGACCUCCCGAGGACAUAUCCUUCGAGCAUUGCCUCAUAAAAAAGGCAUGUGUCUUACUCGAGAGAUCACGUGUUUUUGGGUGAAAACACAGACAACAAACUGUAUUUUUUUUUGCAGAUGCCAAAGUUUCUUUUUCCCUUGACAGAUCACUUUCCCCGUCGAGUCACAUAUAGGGGUAAUGGUUACUUUAAAACAAUCAAGGACAAGUUUGAGGAGCUCGGGUUAAUUAAAAGGGUGAAGGAAUCCCCUUUCAAACAAUUUUUCAUGGCUGAGAAGUUAGACUUCUAAACAUCUCUUAUACAUCAAUUAAUGUUGCGCAAGAUCCAGUGCAACAAAGAGGAUGAGUUGCAUUUCCAAUUGGGAUCUAGACCCUGUAGAUUUGAUAGAGGCGAGUUUUCUUUGGUUACGGGGUUGAACUUUAGUGCUGGGCCAUCUGGAACUGAUUUAAAGAAACACUUGACUACUGACCGCUUAAUCAAGGAGUACUUUAAUGAUGAGAAAUAGUGAAGAUAAUGCAUUUGGAGGCUACUUUAAAAAACUGCAUUGUAGUUGAAGAUGCCUACAAGUUGGGCCUAUGUUUCUUUGUUGAGGGGGUUUUACUUGCGCGAGAGGGCAACUUAAAUGUCUGGAUAGAUUCGCUGAAGAUGGUGGAGGACAUUGGGUACUUCUUUACUUACCCACGGGGGAAGGUGUCUUUCAACAAGCUUAUGGAUGCAUGUCAAAAAGACACACAUCAUCAGAAGAUGAAUUAUGAGAAGAAGAAGGAAGUUAAGGGGAAACAGAAAGAAGCAAAAUACAGUUUGUAUGGUUAUGUCCCUGCAUUGGAGUAUUGGGCAUAUGAGGUCAUCCAGCAGUUUGCAUGUGAGUAUUCUAUUAACCAUGGAAACCUCUUUCCGAGGAUGCUCAGUUGGUUGAGCAAUACGGAGCGCCCUAUUUCAAAGGCCGACUUUGCACUGAUGUUCAAGAAGACGAGUUUGCUUGUGUUUUCCAUGUUGAAGCCCCGGCCUUCGGAGAUAGAUUAUUAUAGCGCUCUAACUCAGGGUGAUGCUCCCUUGUAUCCUGGCUUAGGCCAAGAAGAAGAGGAUGAAACUCCCACUGAUUUUGAGAAGGUGGUGGAGAUAGCUACUGAGGUUGCGAAGGCAACCAAUAUUUUUGUUGAUGUUGGCCCUGAUGAUGAAGAUACCCCAGUCCCCAUCGGCCCCAACCCCAUUGGUAGUUGCAGUCCCAGCUCCUGGUCAACUUGAUUUACAAGAGGUGUUGGAGAGGUUGGAGCAAGUCGAGAGUUGUCAGGAUACCGUCCUACAGAACCAGGUAGUCAUCAUGGAUGUUGUCAAUAGGAUCUUGACAUUUGUACAAGAUCUUCGGAGAGACACGACGGAGAAUGAUUAUGAUUCUAACUCACUUGACCUACUAGAUGAUUAUGUCGUAAAUGACAUAGGCACUUCUCCGCCGAUAGUAAUCACACCCUAGGUGUUACUAUUAUAGAACUUGGGGAUGUUGCCAGGGUAGAGUUUGAAUUUUCCAAGAGGAAAAGACAAAAAAGCUAAAAAAUUUGAAGACUACACCGACCCAACCAGGAAGAAACCUCGUGUGGAUGUGAUCGAUGGCGUGCCAUUAGUCCUCGACCCUCUGAAUAAGCCACUUGCUAGACUAUACAGGACGGUCGGAGAGUGGUUGUUUGGUGAUAUUCCAAACAAGACGAAGAGGGAUGUCCAAACCGGGAUGCAUGGUCUGGGUUGGUUUCUGAUGCUGAAGACACCACAGUUUUGGCUCGAUGAUGGGCAUAUUGAUGCGGCCGAGCAUAUGCUACGUAGGUGUUGCCAUUUCUAUCCUAGGGCGUAUCGGCAAGAUGCCAUUGUGAUGAAUAUUAUGUUCUCACAAUGCCAAGGAAGAAGAUAGGAAAAGGUUUUUAUGGGAUUCAGAUGUGUUGUCAAUGAUUACGGGCAUUGACAAUCAAUUUCUAGCAUCGUGGAAAGGGAUAGACACUGUAUAUUGGUGUUAGAACUACCUUCAAGCGUAUUGGUUUGUAGUUGAAGCAUCCAUUUCUACUUGGACUCCGAAUGUUUAUGAUUCAGACGUGACAGUGAUAAGUAACAAACAACUGCAAUCCUUUAUGAAGUCAUGGUCUACUUUGUUCCCAUCACUGUUAUUACAAUCACAUCUUUUCAAGGACGACCCUCAGUUGACGAUUACACCUGGAGCUAAAAGAUGCAAAGAGUUCAAGGUGAACUGCAUGCCAGUUAAUUCAGUACCCCAAACCAAAGUCAGUUUAUGUUUCGUUCACAAUGGAGAUUGUGGUGUGUACGCCAUCAAGCACAUCGAGUACUUAUUGAGUAGGCUACCACUUCACACGAUCUGCGACGACAACAUGGAGUUGUUCAGAAACAAAUGGACAGUUGUUAUAUUUCUUUGCAUCGAGUACUUAAGGUAUCAGAAUGUUAGGCAUUGAACAUUCUCUUAUUGUUAUAUUUCUUUGCAUAAAAUUAAAGUUAUUAAAAAAAAUUGUGUAUUGAGCUUACAUUCAGCUUAGGAACAUGGAGUAGCAUCGAACAUAUAUCAAACAUGCAUCGAGCAAACACUGGCUGCCAUCGAGCAUGCAUCAAGCAUGCAAAUCAUUAACGACAAUUAGCAGUAAAAAUCCAAGCGUCGAGUAGUCGUCGAGCAUGCAUUGAGCUUGCAUCGAGCAUGCAUCGAGUUUUAUUCAUUAACGACAAUUAACACUAAAAAUUCAUUAAUGACAAUAAAAUACAGAAAAAAUAACCUAACUAAUCCAAUUUAAAUAAAAUACAACAAAAAUUAUACUCAGAUCCAAGCUUUACAUGAGGA